AUAUUAUUAAGCGGAGGAAAAGAAACUAACAAGGAUUCCUUUAGUAACGGCGAGUGAAAGGGGAAAAGCCUAAUUUUAAAUCCGUGGCCUUGUGCUUCGGAGUUGUAAUCUUAAAGCGUAGUGUCAGUGAUGGCCCGGGACUAACUUCUCUGAAAGGGGGGAUCAUAGAGCGUUAUAAUCGCGUCUUUGACCUGGAGACCAUUACGUACGACACGCGUUUCGAAAGUAGCGUUGUUUGGGAUCACAGCGCGAAGUAGGAGAUAAGCUUCUUCUAAGGCUAAAUAUCGCCGGGAGACCGAUAGCGCACAAGUA
This 312-nucleotide ribosomal RNA is filed under the name uncultured eukaryote. Its description in RNAcentral is "partial large subunit ribosomal RNA". It matches the Rfam family "Eukaryotic large subunit ribosomal RNA", at positions 40 to 350 of the family's 3401-position model. The record is from RNAcentral.